UUAGGAACACUGGCACCAAGUGCAGGUAAAUACCCCGAGGGCCCAUGUGAUGUAGGGAACAUAGCGGGUGCCUCCCACGGUGCCGCCAUCAUAUGAACUGUAUCUCCCAGUGAUCGUUCCAUUGGCCGCCGGUAGCCGAGUCCCUGGGCAGAAAUGCGCUUCCUUUACCUCCUGGUGUCCCUUCUGUGGCUCUCCCCUGGGCACCCACAUUGGCCGAUGGAAGCCCCCUGAAUGCAGAUGCGGUGUGUACCCAAAGCGGGGGGGUCUGUCGCCCUAACUGCCCCAUGAUGGUGCCAUCGGGGCAAUGCAAUUAUGUGCCUUGUUGCAGGAGUGUCAGAGGCUGAUGGAAGAAGCUGAAUAUUGGAAAUAUAACAACGUCUGUGAUUGGGUGAAUCUGAAAGGAAUCAGAAUAAAAGAAAUCAGAGUAAAGGAAACAAUAAUAAAAGUCAAACUAAC
Long non-coding RNA from Xenopus tropicalis (tropical clawed frog), 456 nucleotides. RefSeq lists it as uncharacterized. Lineage: Eukaryota; Metazoa; Chordata; Amphibia; Anura; Pipidae. The transcript has 2 exons. The record is from RefSeq and is a predicted model, not a curated record.